RNAcentral lists this non-coding RNA (85 nucleotides) under Alkalibacterium olivapovliticus. The record is from RNAcentral. Lineage: Bacteria; Bacillati; Bacillota; Bacilli; Lactobacillales; Carnobacteriaceae.
GAACGCCGUGUGCGAUGAAAGUUGCAUGCACGGUGUGAAGCGGGGGAAAAAGUGGAGAUAAUUUCAAAACCUUACCUAUCGCUAU